Molecule: ribosomal RNA, 547 nt
Filed under: Pseudomonas aeruginosa
Lineage: Bacteria; Pseudomonadati; Pseudomonadota; Gammaproteobacteria; Pseudomonadales; Pseudomonadaceae
Description: partial 23S ribosomal RNA
Rfam family: Bacterial large subunit ribosomal RNA
Source: RNAcentral
GUAUAAUGGGUCAACGACUUACAUUCAGUAGCGAGCUUAACCGAAUAGGGGAGGCGUAGGGAAACCGAGUCUUAAUAGGGCGAUGAGUUGCUGGGUGUAGACCCGAAACCGAGUGAUCUAUCCAUGGCCAGGUUGAAGGUGCCGUAACAGGUACUGGAGGACCGAACCCACGCAUGUUGCAAAAUGCGGGGAUGAGCUGUGGAUAGGGGUGAAAGGCUAAACAAACUCGGAGAUAGCUGGUUCUCCCCGAAAACUAUUUAGGUAGUGCCUCGAGCAAGACACUGAUGGGGGUAAAGCACUGUUAUGGCUAGGGGGUUAUUGCAACUUACCAACCCAUGGCAAACUCAGAAUACCAUCAAGUGGUUCCUCGGGAGACAGACAGCGGGUGCUAACGUCCGUUGUCAAGAGGGAAACAACCCAGACCGCCAGCUAAGGUCCCCAAUGAUAGAUUAAGUGGUAAACGAAGUGGGAAGGCCCAGACAGCCAGGAUGUUGGCUUAGAAGCAGCCAUCCUUUAAAGAAAGCGUAAUAGCUCACUGGUCGAGUCG